UGUGCCAGCAGCCGCGGUAAUACGAAGGGUGCAAGCGUUAAUCGGAAUUACUGGGCGUAAAGCGCGCGUAGGUGGUUUGUUAAGUUGGAAGUGAAAGCCCCGGGCUCAACCUGGGAACUGCUUUCAAAACUGGCAAGCUAGAGUAUGGCAGAGGGUGGUGGAAUUUCCUGUGUAGCGGUGAAAUGCGUAGAUAUAGGAAGGAACACCAGUGGCGAAGGCGACCACCUGGGCUAAUACUGACACUGAGGUGCGAAAGCGUGGGGAGCAAACAGG
This 273-nucleotide ribosomal RNA is filed under the name uncultured Pseudomonadales bacterium. RNAcentral's name for it is "partial 16S ribosomal RNA". It matches the Rfam family "Bacterial small subunit ribosomal RNA", at positions 504 to 776 of the family's 1533-position model. Lineage: Bacteria; Pseudomonadati; Pseudomonadota; Gammaproteobacteria; Pseudomonadales. The record is from RNAcentral.